AGGAUAUAGCUCAGUGGGUAGAGUGCUUGUCUUACAUGCACAAGGCCCUGGGUUCAAUCCCCAGCACUAAUUCUA
This 75-nucleotide transfer RNA is filed under the name Marmota monax (woodchuck). Its description in RNAcentral is "tRNA.Val". The stretch from base 7 to 64 matches the Rfam family "tRNA", at positions 8 to 63 of the family's 71-position model. From Rfam's summary of the family: Transfer RNA (tRNA) molecules are approximately 80 nucleotides in length. Their secondary structure includes four short double-helical elements and three loops (D, anti-codon, and T loops). The record is from RNAcentral. Lineage: Eukaryota; Metazoa; Chordata; Mammalia; Rodentia; Sciuridae.